This 151-nucleotide unclassified non-coding RNA is filed under the name uncultured Chaetosphaeriales. Its description in RNAcentral is "sequence contains ITS2". Lineage: Eukaryota; Fungi; Ascomycota; Sordariomycetes. The record is from RNAcentral.
CUCACCCUCAGGCCUAGCCUGGUGUUGGGGCGCCACCGUCUGUGGGCCCCUAAAGUCAGUGGCGGGCUUGUCUAGGACCCGAGCGUAGUAGCUUUAUUACAUCUCGCUUAGGGAGUCUGGCGUGCUCUAGCCGUAAAACACCCCUUCUGAA